This 367-nucleotide ribosomal RNA is filed under the name uncultured bacterium. RNAcentral's name for it is "bacterial SSU rRNA". It matches the Rfam family "Bacterial small subunit ribosomal RNA", at positions 29 to 419 of the family's 1533-position model. The record is from RNAcentral.
AACGAACGCUGGCGGCAUGCCUAACACAUGCAAGUCGAACGAACCCUUCGGGGUUAGUGGCGCACGGGUGCGUAACGCGUGGGAACCUACCAUCAGGUUCGGAAUAACAGUUUAGAAAUGGACUGCUAAUACCGGAUAAUGUCUUCGGACCAAAGAUUUAUCGCCUUUUGAUGGGGCCCGCGUAAGAUUAGGUAGUUGGUGGGGUAAAAGCCUACCAAGCCGACGAUCUUUAGCUGGUCUGAGAGGAUGAUCAGCCACACUGGGACUGAGACACGGCCCAGGACUCCUACGGGAGGCAGCAGUGGGGAAUAUUGGACAAUGGGCGAAAGCCUGAUCCAGCAAUGCCGCGUGAGUGAUGAAGGCCUUA